UACGUAGGGUGCAAGCGUUGUCCGGAAUUAUUGGGCGUAAAGAGCUCGUAGGCGGCUUGUCGCGUCGGCUGUGAAAACCUGGGGCUCAACCCUGGGCCUGCAGCCGAUACGGGCAAGCUAGAAUUCGGUAGGGGAGACUGGAAUUCCUGGUGUAGCGGUGAAAUGCGCAGAUAUCAGGAGGAACACCGGUGGCGAAGGCGGGUCUCUGGGCCGAUACUGACGCUGAGACGCGAAAGCGUGGGGAGCGAACAGG
RNAcentral lists this ribosomal RNA (253 nucleotides) under uncultured bacterium. Its description in RNAcentral is "partial 16S ribosomal RNA". It matches the Rfam family "Bacterial small subunit ribosomal RNA", at positions 524 to 776 of the family's 1533-position model. The record is from RNAcentral.